RNAcentral lists this ribosomal RNA (465 nucleotides) under Vreelandella stevensii. RNAcentral's name for it is "partial 16S ribosomal RNA". It matches the Rfam family "Bacterial small subunit ribosomal RNA", at positions 338 to 795 of the family's 1533-position model. Lineage: Bacteria; Pseudomonadati; Pseudomonadota; Gammaproteobacteria; Oceanospirillales; Halomonadaceae. The record is from RNAcentral.
CCUACGGGAGGCUGCAGUGGGGAAUAUUGGACAAUGGGGGCAACCCUGAUCCAGCCAUGCCGCGUGUGUGAAGAAGGCCCUCGGGUUGUAAAGCACUUUCAGUGAGGAAGAACGCCUGGUGGUUAAUACCCAUCAGGAAAGACAUCACUCACAGAAGAAGCACCGGCUAACUCCGUGCCAGCAGCCGCGGUAAUACGGAGGGUGCGAGCGUUAAUCGGAAUUACUGGGCGUAAAGCGCGCGUAGGUGGCUUGAUAAGCCGGUUGUGAAAGCCCCGGGCUCAACCUGGGAACGGCAUCCGGAACUGUCAAGCUAGAGUGCAGGAGAGGAAGGUAGAAUUCCCGGUGUAGCGGUGAAAUGCGUAGAGAUCGGGAGGAAUACCAGUGGCGAAGGCGGCCUUCUGGACUGACACUGACACUGAGGUGCGAAAGCGUGCGUAGCAAACAGGAUUAGAUACCCUUGUAGUC